UUUCCGCAGGUGAACCUGCGGAAGGAUCAUUAAUGAGUUGUCAUGGGGUUCGAUGCUGGCAGCCAAUUUUUGGAUGCAUGUGCUUGCCCUAACAAUCAUCUUCCAAACACCUGUGCACAUUUUUGAGGGAGUCUUGAGUUGGUUGCCGCUCUUGGGUGAUUUUCUCACAUUCCCUUAAAUCAUUAUACGCUAUUAACAAUGUUGAACGUGCUCUGUGCCGCAAGGCUAUUAAUAUAAUACAACUUUUAACAACGGAUCUCUUGGCUCUCGCAUCGAUGAGAACGCAGC
Molecule: unclassified non-coding RNA, 288 nt
Filed under: plant metagenome
Description: partial contains small subunit ribosomal RNA, internal transcribed spacer 1, and 5.8S ribosomal RNA
Rfam family: 5.8S ribosomal RNA (bases 241-288)
Source: RNAcentral